RNAcentral lists this ribosomal RNA (1372 nucleotides) under uncultured bacterium. RNAcentral describes it as "bacterial SSU rRNA". It matches the Rfam family "Bacterial small subunit ribosomal RNA", at positions 28 to 1381 of the family's 1533-position model. The record is from RNAcentral.
GAUGAACGCUGGCGGCGUGCCUAAUACAUGCAAGUCGAGCGAACGGACGAGAAGCUUGCUUCUCUGAUGUUAGCGGCGGACGGGUGAGUAACACGUGGAUAACCUACCUAUAAGACUGGGAUAACUUCGGGAAACCGGAGCUAAUACCGGAUAAUAUUUUGAACCGCAUGGUUCAAAAGUGAAAGACGGUCUUGCUGUCACUUAUAGAUGGAUCCGCGCUGCAUUAGCUAGUUGGUAAGGUAACGGCUUACCAAGGCAACGAUGCAUAGCCGACCUGAGAGGGUGAUCGGCCACACUGGAACUGAGACACGGUCCAGACUCCUACGGGAGGCAGCAGUAGGGAAUCUUCCGCAAUGGGCGAAAGCCUGACGGAGCAACGCCGCGUGAGUGAUGAAGGUCUUCGGAUCGUAAAACUCUGUUAUUAGGGAAGAACAUAUGUGUAAGUAACUGUGCACAUCUUGACGGUACCUAAUCAGAAAGCCACGGCUAACUACGUGCCAGCAGCCGCGGUAAUACGUAGGUGGCAAGCGUUAUCCGGAAUUAUUGGGCGUAAAGCGCGCGUAGGCGGUUUUUUAAGUCUGAUGUGAAAGCCCACGGCUCAACCGUGGAGGGUCAUUGGAAACUGGAAAACUUGAGUGCAGAAGAGGAAAGUGGAAUUCCAUGUGUAGCGGUGAAAUGCGCAGAGAUAUGGAGGAACACCAGUGGCGAAGGCGACUUUCUGGUCUGUAACUGACGCUGAUGUGCGAAAGCGUGGAGAUCAAACAGGAUUAGAUACCCUGGUAGUCCACGCCGUAAACGAUGAGUGCUAAGUGUUAGGGGGUUUCCGCCCCUUAGUGCUGCAGCUAACGCAUUAAGCACUCCGCCUGGGGAGUACGACCGCAAGGUUGAAACUCAAAGGAAUUGACGGGGACCCGCACAAGCGGUGGAGCAUGUGGUUUAAUUCGAAGCAACGCGAAGAACCUUACCAAAUCUUGACAUCCUUUGACAACUCUAGAGAUAGAGCUUUCCCCUUCGGGGGACAAAGUGACAGGUGGUGCAUGGUUGUCGUCAGCUCGUGUCGUGAGAUGUUGGGUUAAGUCCCGCAACGAGCGCAACCCUUAAGCUUAGUUGCCAUCAUUAAGUUGGGCACUCUAAGUUGACUGCCGGUGACAAACCGGAGGAAGGUGGGGAUGACGUCAAAUCAUCAUGCCCCUUAUGAUUUGGGCUACACACGUGCUACAAUGGACAAUACAAAGGGCAGCGAAACCGCGAGGUCAAGCAAAUCCCAUAAAGUUGUUCUCAGUUCGGAUUGUAGUCUGCAACUCGACUAUAUGAAGCUGGAAUCGCUAGUAAUCGUAGAUCAGCAUGCUACGGUGAAUACGUUCCCGGGUCU